AUUCUUGCUUUGGCAGAACUCAUACUAAAAUUGGAAUGACAUAGAGACGAUUAGCAUGGCCCCUGGGCAAGGAUGACAUGCAAAUUUGUGAAAUGCCCAUAUUUUAA
RNAcentral lists this small nuclear RNA (107 nucleotides) under Castor canadensis (American beaver). Lineage: Eukaryota; Metazoa; Chordata; Mammalia; Rodentia; Castoridae. The record is from RNAcentral.